UCUGAGAGUCACGCAGACUGUUGACCACUGGUAUGGUCACCUGAUCAUGAGAAGGGCUCAAGGCAAAAGAUCCAACCCUGAAUCAACCAUGAGGGCCUCGCAGCCACCUGGGGCCUGUGGCAGACCAUGUGGGCUUGGGCAUCGCACCAGCCAGAGUGCAGCUGGGAACACAGACUAAGCUAGCCAGAUGGGGACAGGCGUGGACUAAGGUUUGGCAUGGCACAGAACUUUUGGACACUGGUCUUUGUACUGGGCCUGAUGAAGACAAAGCUGGACUUUUUUUCAUGGCGGGACAGACAGAGAUGAGACUUUGGGAACCUGGGGGCAGCCUGCUAUUUCCACCCAAAUAAACCUUACCAUCAGACCUCAUCCCCCCAUGUGUGUCCCAAAAAAUGCUUUUCUCAUGACACCACAAGGACCCCACUUCCACUGGCAACAAAUAUAUGCGAGCAGGGUUUUAUAUCAAUGAACCAAAGAUGCCCCAUAUUAUUGGCCCUGUGUUUUUUACAGCACAGCAGGCUGGACCGUUUGUUCAAAAACUACUUGACCCAAUUCCAGUUCUUACCCAUGCUAUUGAUUAAAUUAUAGUUGAAGUGAACUCAUUUUAGCCAUUUCAAGUGUUUGGGUAGUGUGGGACCUGUAGUGCCGUCUUCUGGCCACAGAUCACAUGGACCCGGGGUAUGAACCAACAACUCACUGCAGCCCUCCGGGUUCUCUGACCCAGAGCCCCUCACCGUGGUGCUCAGCAAAAUCACUACACACCACAGGUCCCUGGCUGAGUCUCUCCUCCCCCUGGAGCCACCUGCCCUUUUCACUUUCUAGAUGGGGCGCCAUCCUGUUGUCUCUGGAAGGCCGCAUGCUGGGGUGAGCUCCCCUGCAUGCUAAUCUGUCAAAGUGCUCCCCAAAUAAAGCCUGUUGUGUGUUGCUGCCA
Molecule: long non-coding RNA, 931 nt
Organism: Eptesicus fuscus (big brown bat)
Lineage: Eukaryota; Metazoa; Chordata; Mammalia; Chiroptera; Vespertilionidae
Exons: 2
Source: RefSeq, a predicted model, not a curated record